GUGGGAAACGAUGUGGGAAGGCACAGACAGCCAGGAUGUUGGCUUAGAAGCAGCCAUCAUUUAAAGAAAGCGUAAUAGCUCACUGGUCGAGUCGGCCUGCGCGGAAGAUGUAACGGGGCUAAACCAUGCACCGAAGCUGCGGCAGCGACACUAUGUGUUGUUGGGUAGGGGAGCGUUCUGUAAGCCUGCGAAGGUGUGCUGUGAGGCAUGCUGGAGGUAUCAGAAGUGCGAAUGCUGACAUAAGUAACGAUAAAGCGGGUGAAAAGCCCGCUCGCCGGAAGACCAAGGGUUCCUGUCCAACGUUAAUCGGGGCAGGGUGAGUCGACCCCUAAGGCGAGGCCGAAAGGCGUAGUCGAUGGGAAACAGGUUAAUAUUCCUGUACUUGGUGUUACUGCGAAGGGGGGACGGAGAAGGCUAUGUUA
This 422-nucleotide ribosomal RNA is filed under the name Clostridioides difficile. RNAcentral describes it as "partial 23S ribosomal RNA". It matches the Rfam family "Bacterial large subunit ribosomal RNA", at positions 1063 to 1489 of the family's 2925-position model. Lineage: Bacteria; Bacillati; Bacillota; Clostridia; Peptostreptococcales; Peptostreptococcaceae. The record is from RNAcentral.